Molecule: small nucleolar RNA, 217 nt
Filed under: Chelonia mydas (Green sea turtle)
Lineage: Eukaryota; Metazoa; Chordata; Testudines; Cheloniidae
Description: Small nucleolar RNA U3
Rfam family: Small nucleolar RNA U3
About the family: Small nucleolar RNAs (snoRNAs) are involved in the processing and modification of rRNA in the nucleolus. There are two main classes of snoRNAs: the box C/D class, and the box H/ACA class. U3 snoRNA is a member of the box C/D class.
Source: Rfam by way of RNAcentral
AAGACUAUGCUUUCAGGGGUCAUUUCUCUAGUUGGUGACUGGAGAAGGGUGUCUGUGAAAGGCUGGUCUUGCUAACUGCAAUGAAGAGCUGUAGUGUUUCCUUCUGAGUGUGAAACUGGCAGAGUGUGCUGUUCUGUGGCAGUUGCUUUCUGCUGUGGAAGCGCGUCUUGCUCUUCCUGCGGCGAGACGGGGGGGAAGGAAACACAAUCUGAGUGGU